This 341-nucleotide unclassified non-coding RNA is filed under the name soil metagenome. Its description in RNAcentral is "partial contains 5.8S ribosomal RNA, internal transcribed spacer 2, and large subunit ribosomal RNA". The stretch from base 1 to 120 matches the Rfam family "5.8S ribosomal RNA", at positions 35 to 154 of the family's 154-position model. The record is from RNAcentral.
GAUGAAGAACGUAGCGAAAUGCGAUAAGUGGUGUGAAUUGCAGAAUUCAGUGAAUCAUCGAAUCUUUGAACGCACAUUGCGCCCUUUGGUAUUCCAAAGGGCAUGCCUGUUCGAGCGUCAUUUGUACCCCCAAGCUUUGCUUGGUGUUGGGCGUCUUGUCUCUAGCUUUGCUGGAGACUCGCCUUAAAGUAAUUGGCAGCCGGCCUACUGGUUUCGGAGCGCAGCACAAGUCGCACUCUCUAUCAGCAAAGGUCUAGCAUCCAUUAAGCCUUUUUUUCACCUUUUGCCCUCGGAUCAGGUAGGGAUACCCGCUGAACUUAAGCACAUCAAUAAGCGGAGGA